ACCUGGCUAGCUCAGUCGGGAGAACAUGUGACUCUGGAUCUCAGGGUUGUGAGUUCGAGCCCCAUGCUGGGUG
Molecule: transfer RNA, 73 nt
Filed under: Ailuropoda melanoleuca (giant panda)
Lineage: Eukaryota; Metazoa; Chordata; Mammalia; Carnivora; Ursidae
Rfam family: tRNA
About the family: Transfer RNA (tRNA) molecules are approximately 80 nucleotides in length. Their secondary structure includes four short double-helical elements and three loops (D, anti-codon, and T loops).
Source: Rfam by way of RNAcentral